UGAAGUAAGUAAGGGCGUACGGUGAAUGCCUUGGUGCCAACAGGCGAAGAAGGACGCGGCAAGCUGCGAAAAGCCUCGGGAAGCUGCAAGCAAGCGAUGAUCCGGGGAUAUCCGAAUGGGGUAACCUGAUCGAGGCAAUACUCGAUCGUUCAUACCUGAAUACAUAGGGUAUGAAACGCGAAACCCGCUGAAGUGAAACAUCUCAGUAAGCGGAGGAAAAGAAAGAGAAAUCGAUUCCGUAAGUAGUGGCGAGCGAAAGCGGAUGGAGCCCAAACCGAAGGUAUUCCUUCGGGGUUGUAGGACCACGUCAUAUUCGACCAUACUGGAUAGUAGAACAGCCUGGAAAGGCUGGCCGGAGAAGGUGAAAGCCCUGUAGACGAAAUCCAGAGUGGGAAUUAGUGGUAUCCUGAGUAAUACAUCACACGUGGAACGAUGUAUGAACCCGCGCGGACCACCGCGCAAGGCUAAAUACUAGUUGGCGACCGAUAGUGAACAAGUACCGCGAGGGAAAGGUGAAAAGAACCGCUGUGAGCGGAGUGAAAUAGAACCUGAAACCGUAUGUCUACAAAGUGUCAGAGCAGAGCAAUCUGCGAUGGCGUGCCUUUUGUUUAAUGAGUCUGCGAGUCAGUGUUUGUGGCAAGACUAAGGGCUUCCGGCCCGGAGUCGCAGCGAAAGCAAGUCCGAACAGGGCGCAAUAAGUCGCAGGUACUGGACCCGAAGCGGAGGUGACCUACCCUUGGCCAGGUUGAAGCAUGGGUAAAACCAUGUGGAGGACCGAACAGGUGAACGUUGAAAAGUUCUCUGAUGAGCUGAGGGUAGGAGUGAAAGGCUAAUCAAACCCCGUGAUAGCUGGUUCUCUUCGAAAUGCAUUUAGGUGCAGCGUCACGUGCUGAUGCGCGGGGGUAGAGCACUGACAAGGCUAGGGGGCACACCCGCUUACCAAACCUUAUCAAACUCCGAAUACCGUGCAAUGGAACGUGGCAGUGAGACAGUGGGGGAUAAGCUUCAUUGUCGAGAGGGAAACAACCCAGACCAGCAGCUAAGGUGCCUAAAUAACGCUCAGUGGAAAGGAUGUGGGAUUACACAGACAGUGAGGAUGUUGGCUUAGAAGCAGCCACCAUUUAAAAAAUGCGUAAUAGCUUACUCAUCGAGUGAUCCUGCGCCGAAAAUGAUUGGCGAUCAAGCGUUAUACCGAAGCUCUGGACUUUGCCGCAAGGCAGAGUGGUAGAAGAGCGUUGCAUGCGCGUCGAAGGGCGAUGGCGACUGACCCUGGAGCACAUGCAAGUGAGUAUGCAGACAUGAGUAACGUUAAGCCGGGUGAAAUCCCCGGCCGCCGUAAACCCGAGGUUUCCAGGGCAACGUGUUUCGUCCCUGGGUUAGCCGGGACCUAAGCCGAGGCCGAGAGGCGUAGGCGAUGGACAUCAGGUUAAUAAUCCUGAGCUCGCAACCCUUAAACUGGGGGGACGCAUGAGAAAAGAUGACUAGGUUAUUGAAUUCCGAGUUGAGUCUACGGACUCAGCGCAUCAUUGGAUCGAGUGCCAAGAAAAGCCCCAGCGUAUGCUAAGCGACCCGUACCGCAAACCGACACAGGUGGGUGGGUAGAAUAUACCAAGGCGUAAGAGUGAAACCUGGUUAAGGAACUCGGCAAAUUAGCCCCGUAACUUCGGAAGAAGGGGUGCCUGCAGCGAUGCAGGCCGCAGAGAAAUGGCCCAACCGACUGUUUAUCAAAAACACAGCACUCUGCAAAGACGCAAGUCGAAGUAUAGGGUGUGACACGUGACCAAUGCCGAAAGAUUAAGGCAAGGGGUUAGCCGCAAGGCGAAGCUCUAAACCCAAGUCCCGGUGAAUGUCGGCCGUAACUAUAACGGUCCUAAGGUAGCGAAAUUCCUUGUCGGGUAAGUUCCGACCUGCACGAAUCGUGAAACGAGUUGGGCACUGUCUCAACCAGGCGCUCAGUGAAAUUGUAGUGGCGGUGAAGAUGCCGCCUACCCGCAGAAGGACGGAAAGACCCUAUAGACCUUAACUGUAAGCUGUCAUUGUUUCUUCGGUUUUAAUGCUCAGAGUAAGUGGGAGACGCUGAAGACGCCCUUUAGGGGGCGUCCGAGUCAUCAAUGAGACACCACCCUUUGAAACUGGAGGAUCUAACCCUGAGCCGUGAAUCCGGCCAGAGGACCGUGUCAGCCGGUCAGUUUUACUGGGGCGGUAUCCUCCCAAAGAGUAACGGAGGAGCGCGAAGGUGGGCUCAGCCCGGUUGGCAACCGGGUGUCGAGUGCAUGGGCAUAAGCCCGCCUAACUGUGAGACCAACAAGUCGAGCAGAUGCGAAAGCAGGCCCAAGUGAUCCGGCGGUAGAAAGUGGAAUUGCCGUCGCUCAACGGAUAAAAGGUACCUUAGGGAUAACAGGCUGAUCACGCCCAAGAGUUCAUAUCGACGGCGUGGUUUGGCACCUCGAUGUCGGCUCGUCGCAUCCUGGGGCUGAAUUCGGUCCCAAGGGUUUGGCUGUUCGCCAAUUAAAGCGGCACGCGAGCUGGGUUCAGAACGUCGUGAGACAGUUCGGUCCCUAUCUGUUGCGGGCGUAAGAGAUUUGAAGGGAGCUGUCCUUAGUACGAGAGGACCGGGAUGGACGUACCUCUGGUGCACCAGUUGUCCUGCCAAGGGCAUAGCUGGGUAGCUAUGUACGGACGAGAUAAACGCUGAAAGCAUCUAAGCGUGAAACUCCCCCUAAGAUGAGAUCUCUCAUCCUUUAAGGAGUAAGGACCCAGAAAGACGAUCUGGUUGAUAGGCCGAAGGUGGAAGCGCAGUAAUGUGUGCAGCUGAUCGGUACUAAUAGUCCGAGGGCUUGACCUA
Molecule: ribosomal RNA, 2845 nt
Filed under: human gut metagenome
Description: bacterial LSU rRNA
Rfam family: Bacterial large subunit ribosomal RNA
Source: RNAcentral